ACAGCAGCCGCCGCGGGAAUACGUAGGUGGCAAGCGUUGUCCGGAAUUAUUGGGCGUAAAGCGCGCGCAGGCGGUUUCUUAAGUCUGAUGUGAAAGCCCCCGGCUUAACCGGGGAGGGUCAUUGGAAACUGGGAGACUUAGAGUGCAGAAGAGGAGAGUGGAAUUCCAUGUGUAGCGGUGAAAUGCGUAGAUAUAUGGAGGAACACCAGUGGCGAAGGCGACUCUCUGGUCUGUAACUGACGCUGAGGCGCGAAAGCGUGGGGAGCAAACAGGAUUAGAUACCCCCGUAGUCCCUGUCUCUUAUA
This 305-nucleotide ribosomal RNA is filed under the name uncultured bacterium. RNAcentral describes it as "partial 16S ribosomal RNA". It matches the Rfam family "Bacterial small subunit ribosomal RNA", at positions 508 to 808 of the family's 1533-position model. The record is from RNAcentral.